GGGAAGCAGACUGAAGCCUUCGGGCGGACGUCUGUGGAACGAGCGGCGGAUGGGUGAGUAACACGUGGGCAACCUGCCUGUAAGCUCGGGAUAACUAGCGGAAACGCUAGCUAAUACCGAAUAACGCUGCGCACCGCAUGGCGCGCAGAUGAAAGGCGGCGCAAGCUGCCACUUACAGAUGGGCCCGCGGCGCAUUAGCUAGUUGGUGGGGCAACGGCCUACCAAGGCGACGAUGCGUAGCCGACCUGAGAGGGUGAUCGGCCACACUGGGACUGAGACACGGCCCAGACUCCUACGGGAGGCAGCAGUAGGGAAUAUUCCGCAAUGGGCGAAAGCCUGACGGAGCGACGCCGCGUGAGCGAUGAAGGUCUUCGGAUCGUAAAGCUCUGUUGUUAGGGAAGAACAAGUACCGGAGUAACUGCCGGUACCUUGACGGUACCUAACCAGAAAGCCACGGCUAACUACGUGCCAGCAGCCGCGGUAAUACGUAGGUGGCAAGCGUUGUCCGGAAUUAUUGGGCGUAAAGCGCGCGCAGGCGGUCCUUUAAGUCUGAUGUGAAAUCUUGCGGCUCAACCGCAAGCGGUCAUUGGAAACUGGGGGACUUGAGUGCAGGAGAGGAAAGCGGAAUUCCAUGUGUAGCGGUGAAAUGCGUAGAGAUAUGGAGGAACACCAGUGGCGAAGCGGCUUUCUGGCCUGUAACUGACGCUGAGGCGCGAAAGCGUGGGGAGCAAACAGGAUUAGAUACCCUGGUAGUCCACGCCGUAAACGAUGAGUGCUAAGUGUUGGAGGGGUUUCCGCCUUUCAGUGCUGCAGCAAACGCAUUAAGCACUCCGCUGGGGGAGU
This 843-nucleotide ribosomal RNA is filed under the name uncultured bacterium. RNAcentral describes it as "bacterial SSU rRNA". It matches the Rfam family "Bacterial small subunit ribosomal RNA", at positions 56 to 881 of the family's 1533-position model. The record is from RNAcentral.